GUUCAAACAGGGCAGUCGCAUGUGUAGGAGCUCCGGUAUCGUUUCGGCCUAUUUCUUCUAAAAGUUUGCCGCUUACAUGCUUUCUCCAACCUGUUUAAUCUCCCAAACCACCCUAUCGGCAACACGUGGCUUAAGCAUGUAUUGAUAUCAUAUAUGGGCAUAAACCCUCGACCAAUCAGCAUCAAGGAUAAGCCACUUCCUCUUAUGACGUCAGAAGCGGAGAAUUAAGCUCCGCCCAAUGUACCAGGUCCUCCAGUGCUGUCAGUGGACAAACAGGAGGUGACGGGUGUGGAUGGAGACAGUGUCAGUGUUACUAUGGAAACAACAAAAGACAUAGGAUGUGGUGUAAUAUUGGGGGUUCCUGUGCAUCAGAGAGAUCAGCGAGUUUGGAUGGGAGGCCUGUCCUGAUCAGGGAUGAAACAGAAAAUAAAACCUUCAUUGUGACAAUGAGUGGGCUGGAGAGGAAGGACACUGGCUGGCAUUGGUGUGCUGCUGGAAACCUGCAGAUUCCAGUUCAUAUAACUGUCAAACGUAAGUAAUUGAUUUAAAUCUGCCUGUGAAUCCUUUGUGCUUGAAUAUAAAUAGAUAAAUACUAAUUUUAUUUUAUUUUUGAAACCCAGCAGUUUCACUCACAAAGGGGUUUGUGCUUCUUUGUGGGGAUAUUUAUCAGCUGUUGUGAAACAAUUAUUUAUUGGGAUUAUUGUUUCAAUGAUAGUGGCACGGUGGUCCAGUAGGUGGCGCUGUUGCUUCACACCUCCAUGUUCAGGGGUUUGAAUCUGGCUUCUGCUCUUUCUGUGUGGAGUUUGCAUGUUCUCUACAUGCUGUGUGGGUUUCCUCCAACAAUCCAAAAACACACAGUCAGCCUAAUUGGUGUCUCUAAUAUAGAAUGUGUGUCUUCUAGUUUAUGAUCAGUCUAAUUGUGUGAAGACUGACUAACAUGUCUGUAGGUGGUUUUUCAUUGCAGCGUAGGCCAGUGUUACAGUUGUACUCUGUAAUAUCUGUUCCAGUGCUGCAUCCAUCCAUUGUCUGAAACUGCUUGUCUAAUUCAGGGUCCCUAUGGGCGCAAGGCAGGGUACGUCCCAUGACAGGGUGCCAACCCAUUGCAGGACACACUCACACUCCAUUCUCUCGCACAAGCACACCUACCGGCAAUUUGACAACUCCAAUUAGCCUCAGCAUGUUUUUGGACUAUGGGGGGAAAUCAGAGUACCUGGAGGAAACCCCACAAUGACACGGGGAGAACAUGCAAACUCCACACACACAGAACUCUGGUAGAGACUUGAGCACACGUGCCAGAGGUGUGAGGUGACAUUGCAAACCACUGCACCACCGUGCCACCCUGCUACAAUAAAUACAUUAUAAUAUGUUAAUAAAAUCAUUUAUCUCACCUGUUCACUAUCAGUGCCGUGGGAUGUGAAUACUUUGGUCAUGACACUAAUUCAUUGUUCUCCAUCUAAUCAUUUUCUCUGUAGAAUACCUUUCAUAAUUUAUAUUUCAGUUUCAAGAGUGACCUUUUCUUAGUCUUUAUUGACUAACAGAGCACUGCUUUUUAUUAACGAUCCUUUCUCCUGUUUCCACUGCUCUCCUUUUCUCUGCACAUGAGGAAG
Long non-coding RNA from Brienomyrus brachyistius, 1607 nucleotides. RefSeq lists it as uncharacterized. NCBI's taxonomy places the organism in Eukaryota, Metazoa, Chordata, Actinopteri, Osteoglossiformes, Mormyridae. The transcript is spliced from 3 exons. The record is from RefSeq and is a predicted model, not a curated record.